RNAcentral lists this ribosomal RNA (368 nucleotides) under uncultured organism. RNAcentral describes it as "bacterial SSU rRNA". It matches the Rfam family "Bacterial small subunit ribosomal RNA", at positions 526 to 896 of the family's 1533-position model. The record is from RNAcentral.
CGUAGGUGGCAAGCGUUGUCCGGAUUUAUUGGGUUUAAAGGGUGCGUAGGCGGCCCUGUAAGUCAGUGCUGAAAUAUCCCGGCUUAACCGGGAGGGUGGCAUUGAUACUGCAGGGCUUGAGUAAAGUUGAGGUUGGCGGAAUUGACGGUGUAGCGGUGAAAUGCUUAGAUAUCGUCAAGAACACCGAUAGUGUAGACAGCUAACUAAGCUUUAACUGACGCUGAGGCACGAAAGUGUGGGGAUCAAACAGGAUUAGAUACCCUGGUAGUCCACACUGUAAACGUUGAUGACUCGCUGUUGGCGAUAUACAGUCAGCGGCUUAGAGAAAUCGUUAAGUCAUCCACCUGGGGAGUACGCCGGCAACGGUG